CACUGAGGAACUCUCCCAGAGGCACGGCCUCGGCACGACCCCCAGUCUGUGGCCUGAGGGGUUCGGCUGUCGGCUCCUUCCGCGAGGCUGUCCUCUAGUCGCGCGGUGCAGGAGGUGCCCGGACCUGCCAGGUCAUCUCUCUUGGUCGAGACUCUCCAGCUAGCUCUCGCCUUGCCUCAGGAAUACGGUGUGUCGCGCUAACUCGGCCUGAGAGACCGCCAGGUAGCGGUCGGACCACACACAGGAGGAGCUAAAGAGGAGAGAGCGCUCUUCGCGUGUGGAGCGGUAGUGAGGAGAAGCCAUGCUCUCGGUGAGAAAAGAGGACCGCACCGUUACACCACUGGUGAAGAGAGAAGGCUGCCCUGCUUUGUCCUGAAGCGACCGAGAAGAGAUGAAGCCAUUUCCACACUAAGGAUGACGAAAACUCUUGCAACUGAUCGCAAAAACCUCAUUGUUACAGCAAUAGCUUCUUCUCUACGUCCCGGUGUGUAUUUGUUUUGGAGUUCUUUCACUAGUGUACCUAGUAGAGUAUCUAAAAGC
Long non-coding RNA from Globicephala melas (long-finned pilot whale), 540 nucleotides. RefSeq lists it as uncharacterized. NCBI's taxonomy places the organism in Eukaryota, Metazoa, Chordata, Mammalia, Artiodactyla, Delphinidae. The record is from RefSeq and is a predicted model, not a curated record.